UUUCGCAAUGCCCGAAAGGGUGACGAAGCGACGCCGCGUGGGUGAGGAAGGCCUUCGGGUUGUAAAGCCCUGUCAGGAGUUAAGAAAUGUAAGUGCGCUAAUAUCGCAUUUAUUUGACGAAGGCUCCAAAGGAAGUCACGGCUAACUCUGUGCCAGCAGCCGCGGUAAUACAGAGGUGGCAAGCGUUGUUCGGAAUUAUUGGGCGUAAAGAGCACGUAGGUGGGUUUGUAAGUCAGAUGUGAAAGCCUUCUGUUCAACGGAAGAAUUGCAUCUGAAACUACAAGUCUUGAGUGUAGGAGGGGAGAAUGGAACUUCUGGUGGAGCGGUGAAAUGCGUAGAUAUCAGAAGGAACGCCGGCGGCGAAAGCGAUUCUCUGGCCUAUUACUGACACUCAGUGUGCGAAAGCUAGGGGAGCAAACGGGAUUAGAUACCCCGGUAGUCCUAGCCGUAAACGAUGGGCACUAAGUAGAGGGGUUUU
This 478-nucleotide ribosomal RNA is filed under the name uncultured Methylomirabilota bacterium. RNAcentral's name for it is "bacterial SSU rRNA". It matches the Rfam family "Bacterial small subunit ribosomal RNA", at positions 364 to 832 of the family's 1533-position model. Lineage: Bacteria; Methylomirabilota (SeqCode). The record is from RNAcentral.